UCCUUCACACGGAGUCGCGUCCCCCGCCCCCCCACCCCCACCCUAAAGCCGCCUGGGUUCCAGUUAGCUUUGCCGAAGACUUGCAUUGCCUGGCAUGCACUUCCUCUCAAAUGUUACAUCUAUGAAGCCUCACCCUCAAACCCUGAGACAUUCAUUACAAAAUCAUUUCUCAUGGAACAAGAACAUGUACUUUCAUGGUGCAAGGUUGCCUGAUGUUUCCCAGGUUUCAAUGGCCCAGGCAGAUAAAGGAAAUUCAGCAAGAUCAGAAGAAAGAAGAACUGAUCUAUCCUUAAAAAUUGGCCUCCUCUGUUUGAUUUGAAGUCAUGAGUCUGGAUCACAAUAUAGAGAAUGUUUCCUCUGUGCCAUUAUUACAUUAUAUAAAAAUGCCUUUUUGUGCAAGCUGGCAUUAGUCUGUGUCCCAAGGCUUUUCUUCUCUUCUGCAUCUUCAUACUCCUAGAUCACAGGCCUAAGCCACUGACCUGAUUACCCAUUACUUGGCCCUCGUCCAUAUGGUGAUGCUCCUCACAGUAAUGGAUUUUUCUUUUGUCUCCAGUCAUGUUUCUGUCACUAAAUUUUCAAAACUAUAAAAAGUAAGGCAAUUCUCUAUAUGAACAGGGCAAUUAGGACCUCUGUAUCUGCAGCACCUGCCUACUGAACAUGUUCUACGGUAUUACCAUCAGCCCUCCUGUUUUGCAAGAUUUAAACAUAAAUUUGUAAAUAAAAUUACCCAUAUUUUCUUCUUUUUAUGGUCCUUUAGUUUGUCUUAUAGUAGUAACAUGAUCUUCUACAUCAUGACUUCUUUCAGUGUUUCCCAGACCAAUCUACUGACUGUCAGUUGACACUGCUCACUUUCCCCCAUGAGCUCCAUCAUCAGAGAACUUUUUUUACCUUUGAUGUUAUCUAGGGACAUUUUCUUGGUAGAAGUUAUGUGUCUCUCAAGUGCAUACAUGGUGAUUCUGUCAUUCAGGCAUCAGACCUUGUAGACCUUCCUCCCUGGGCUCAUUAAAUACAUGCUUCCAGGAUCCCUGGGUGGCUCAGUGGUUAAGCGUCUGCCUUUGGCUCAGGGCAUGAUCCUGGAGUCCCAGGAUCGAGUCCACAUCUGGUUCCCUGCAUGGAGCCUGCUUCUCUCUCUGCCUAUGUCUCUGCCUCUCUCUCUGUGUCUCUCAUGAAUAAAUAAAUAAAAUCUUUAAAUAAAUAAAUAAAUAAAUAAAUACACGCUUUCUUUCCGGGGCAGAAAUAAGUAGGGUUUCUUUUUAAUUUUUUAAUUUUUAAUUUUUAUUUUUUUAUAAGUAGGGUUUCUACAGUAAGUCAGAGGUUAGAGAAGACACUAUUAAUAGGCAGAGUCCAAAAAAGUAAUACAGAGCCAAUCAUGUCUCCAUGAAGCUCUCAGUACACUCAUCCCCAAGACAGUAUCCCAAGAGGUGAUCAGGAACUGCUUUGGCUGUAUGCUCUGGCCUUGCAGGGCCUGCUUGACUUGGCCUGGGUGAUGACCAAACAGAGCAGGGGGUAUUUGCCCCUGCACACACUCCUCCCUUCACUAGGUGGCUUUCCAGCGCAAGCUGACUCUGACUCCUCUGGCUCCUUCUUCCACUUUUAAGAACCCUUGUGAUUACAUCAGGCUCAACCAAUAAUCCAGGAUGACCUCCCUCUUUUAAAGUCAGCUAAUUAGCAACCUUAAUUCCUCUUUGCCAUGUAAUGUAACAUAUGCCCAGGUUCUGAGGACUAGGAAAUGGAUGUCUUCUAGAACCCAUUAUUCUGCCUUCCAUAUCUUCCUUGUCAUCUUUAGGGCUUGAAAGGAUCUUCAGACUGCUGAGAAGGAACCAGGGGAUGAAGUUAUGGGCAGAUUUAUCAGCCCACAUUUCCUUUCAUUGAAGAUAUGCUGCUCUAGGGCUUUUGUAAUCUUUAGGCAUAAGCCUUGUGAUCACCUAUCACUGGUCAUUCCAGCUCAGCCAGGUAACUUGCCAACCACCCCAGGCAACAUGUAUCUCACCCCUGAGUGAACCCUUCUGUGUUUCCCAAAGAUCCUAGCAUUAGGUCAGGUGAUAUCUGCCUUACAUUGAAUACCAGCUAUUAAAUCCCAAGAUAGCACCAAAUACUAUACAUAGCACAUAAUGC
This 2115-nucleotide long non-coding RNA is filed under the name Canis lupus familiaris (dog). Its description in RNAcentral is "lncRNA (ENSCAFG00030007018.1)". The record is from RNAcentral. Lineage: Eukaryota; Metazoa; Chordata; Mammalia; Carnivora; Canidae.